AACGCAUAUUGCGCCCUUUGGUAUUCCGAAGGGCAUGCCUGUUCGAGCGUCAUUACACCACUCAAGCCUCAGCUUGGUGUUGGACGAUGCGAGAAAUCGCACGUCUCAAAAGCCGUCGGCUGAGUCGUCUGUCUCCCAGCGUAGUGAAUCUUUUCGCGAAGAGAUGUGUCGAUCUUGGCCGUUAAACCUUCUCAAGGUUGACCUCGGAUCAGGUAGGGAUACCCGCUGAACUUAA
This 235-nucleotide unclassified non-coding RNA is filed under the name uncultured fungus. RNAcentral's name for it is "sequence contains ITS2". The stretch from base 1 to 52 matches the Rfam family "5.8S ribosomal RNA", at positions 103 to 154 of the family's 154-position model. Lineage: Eukaryota; Fungi. The record is from RNAcentral.